This is a small nucleolar RNA of Vulpes vulpes (red fox), 92 nucleotides long. The record is from Ensembl. Lineage: Eukaryota; Metazoa; Chordata; Mammalia; Carnivora; Canidae.
GGGCCUCCCAUGAUGUUCAGCACUGGGCUCCUAUCACCCCUGAGGAUGCAGUGCUUCCCAGGACCUUUGACACCUGGGGAUCUGAGAGGCCC